RNAcentral lists this ribosomal RNA (4692 nucleotides) under Metschnikowia orientalis. Its description in RNAcentral is "large subunit ribosomal RNA". The stretch from base 313 to 1506 matches the Rfam family "Bacterial large subunit ribosomal RNA", at positions 569 to 2044 of the family's 2925-position model. The record is from RNAcentral. Lineage: Eukaryota; Fungi; Ascomycota; Pichiomycetes; Serinales; Metschnikowiaceae.
AGGUGAUAUAUUGAAAAAUGGUAUAUGUUAUUAAUAUUAUUUUAAGAAUUUUGAAUCAAUAUUUAAAAAUGAUAUAAAGAUGAAAAUCAAUCAUAAUCAUGAAAAUGAUAAAAAAUAAAACAAGUGGAAUGAAACAUCUGAGUAACUUGUUAAAUAACCAACAGGGAUUAUAUAAGUAACGGUGAGUGAAAGUAUAAAAAUCUUAAAGUAUUACCAAGAGGUAAGAAUAAAGUAGUUUCCAACUACUAAGAAAUAAAAUUAAAUAUUAGAUUAAAGUACCGCAAGGGAAAGAAAGAAAAUAGAAUAAUAAAGAGCAGUUAUAGUAUAACGUACCUUUUGUAUAAUGGGCCAGUGAGUUAUAUACUUUAGUGAAAUAUAAAAUUUAUAUAUAAUUAGAUAUAAUUAAAGUAUAUAGGCCCGAAAGCAAACGAUCUACACAUGUCCAAGUGUAUAUAAUUAAUGUUUAACAUAUAAUUAUAUAUGACUCAAUAGGUAAUUGUAGCAAUAAUUUCUAAAGAGAUGUGUGUAGCUGUGACAGACAAAUCUGGUUUGCAGAUAGCUGGUUUUCUGCGAAAUAUAUUUUAGUAUAGCCUUUAUAUUUAUUUAAACUGGUACAGCACUUAAAUACCUUUGGGGAAUUAGAAUAUAAUUUUAUCAAAAUAUUUAAACCUCGGAAUCAGUUAUUUAUCUCAUUAUUAUGAGUAAUAUAAGGAGUCAGACUUAUUGCGAUAAGGUAGUAGGUCGAGAAGGAAACAACCUAGACUAUUAAAUUAAUGUCCCAAAUAUUAAUUAAGUGAAUAAAAUCUAUAUAUCUCUGCUUUGCAGAGAUAAUAUUAAACUAUAGACAAUUAGUAAGUGGGUUUGACAAUAAUCAACUUUUAAUGAACAUGUAACAAUGCACUAAUUUAAUAUAUAUAUAUAUAUAUAUUUUUAUUAAUAAUAGAGAAAAUAUAUCGGGUCUAAAUUAAUAACAGUAUUAUAGAUAUAAUCUUAUAAAAAAAAAGAUUAUAUGGUAGCAGAAUAUAUAAUAAAAAAUUAUAAAGAGAUUGCUGGCUUGAGUAACGAUAGAUAAUAUAAGAUUAUCCCCUUAUUCAUAAGGUUUUACUAUAAACGAACGGUCCCUAAGAUUAAUAUAGAAAUAUAUAAUUAAUGGGUGAAAGAACAAGAAAAUAAAAAUGAACCGUACUGUAGACCGACACAGGUAUGAUUAAAAGGGAAUGGGAUAACUACAUUGAAUGAACUCGGCAAAAUAAAUCGUGCGACUGUUUACCAAAAACAUAGCUUAUUGCAUACUAGUAAUAGUAAGUAUAAUAAGUGAUAUCUGCCCGGUGUUUGUUUAAUAAAUAUUGUUAUUUUAUAGAUAACUUUAUAAAAAACAGAUAAACGGCGGUCUUAUUGUGAGGAUCCGAAGGUAGCGAAAUUCAUUGACGUAUAAUUGACGUCCUGCAUGAAUGAAUAUACGAUGCGAUAACUGUAUCCAAUGUAGACCCAGUGAAAUAGCAAUUGCGGUGAAAUUAGUACUAUAAUAUUAUAUUAUAUUAUACGCCGGGUUGGUGAAAAUCCAACUUUAUAGUUUUAAUUUUUAAUAUUUAAUAAAAAACAAUGAUGAGAGUAAAUACAAUGGCCCGCUUAUAUAAGCGGGCUAUCAUCCCCGCGUCGCGGGGAUAAUUUAUUUCUCCUCCGGAGAAAUAUAAUCAUUGAUUUAUCAAAAUUUAGGUCCCUUCGGGAUCUAUAAUAAUUCCCCUUCGGGGAAUAAUUAAUAAAUUUAAUAAAUGAUUUAUUGGUUUCUCCGAAUCUAAUUUUUUAAUUAUAGGUAAAUAUUAUUUACAAAGAAUUAAAGUUUAUGCCCGCCAAGGCGGGAAAUAUAAAAAAUUAAAUGUCUUAAUUGACAGAUAAGUAUUAAUGAAUUAUUAAUAUUUUCUUAGGAGAGAAUUAUAAUUCAUACACCCGCUGCUUUGCAGCGGGCGUGACAAGAAUACAAUCGAAUAAUACUUAUCCCUCGAUAGAGGGUAAAUUACAUAAGGCAAUAUGUGAUUUAAUCGCUAUAAAUAAAAAGGUGAAAACGGUCAACGAUAUCUUGAUUGAAGACCGUCGGCAAUUGUAUGUGUCGCUACAGACUGGUUCACCGAGGUUAGACUGAAAUGUCUGUCUAAAUGUACAGUCGGGUUCUGUAAUAUAAUAUAUCUGCUUUAGGGCGUAUAUUAUAUAGAGGUGAAAGAUAUAUCAGAAUAAACUGAUAAGCUUAUUAGUACAUAAGUAAUAAACCUUUGUAGGUCAAACUUACUUAAUUUAAUCAGAAUUGGAAGAUGCCGUAUAUCCGUAGGUUGACAAAAAGACCCUAUGCAGCUUUACUAUAUCUUUAUUUUGAUUUUUAAUACCUUUUAGGUGUUAUACUUUUUUUAUUUAUUUCAGUAGAUUAGGUUAUAUUUAUAUUUUAAAUCAAAUGAGAUACCUAUAUAAAUGAAAAAAGAAUCUAAUUAAUACAGUUUAUUAUUCUUACGGAAUAAUAACUUAAGUUAUACUUAUUUAAGAAAGAGUAAAGAGGUUAGUUUCGAUGGGGCGUCGACAUCAGCGAAAGCAUCUGAUGUGUCUAAUAACAAAGUUAGAAAAACUAAAUGUUUAAUUAAAUUUUUUAUUUAAUAGUAAAUUACGUACAAUAUUUCUAUAUGGUAAAUAGAAUAAAACAAUAUUUUUUAAAUAUAUGAUUAUAUAAGUAAGGAUAACAACAUAAUUGUGCGAUGAUAAUAACACUAACAAGUGAAAUUAGUACUUACGUAGAGUGUAGUGAACAGGCAUAAACAAAUGGUAUGGAUGUCGAUAACGGAUUAAAGUUACGCUAGGGAUUAAAUGUUAGUUCCUUUAUAUAGAAAGCUCAUAAAUUUAUCCCCCCUCAAGGGGGGAUUAAUCAUACCCUUCCGGGUAUAAUUUAUAUGAGCUGAAUAUAUAUUAUCUCCGCGAUAGUGAGAUAACCUUCUAAAGAAGGUAUAUUAAUUGGGUAAAUUGCAUAGAAAUCUUUUUCGUAAAAGAUAAUAUGCAGCGAAGCAUAUAUUAGUUUUUAUAGAUAUAUGAACGUUCAACGACUAGUAAUUGAGUAAACUAACAAUAAUAUUACCACGAGCACCCAAUACCUAAUAAUAUCUUUAAUAGAUAUUCUUAAAUAAAUAUAUAUAUUUUUUUUCCCUAAAAAGGAGAAUAUAAAUCAAAUUACCUUCAAACAGAAGGUUUAUAAUAAAAAAUAAAAUAUGAACAAAGAGAUGAAAAAAUGAAUAAUGAAAAAAGAUUUAAUUAAUAUUUCUCCUAAUAGUAAUUUAUUAAAAUCUUAUAAACAACAAUUUCCUAAUAUUUCACAAUAUCAAAAAGAAGUAUUAGUAGGUAUAAUAUUAGGAGAUGGAUAUAUUUAUUUAAGAAUUUUAUUAGGUAAAGACAUAGUCUAAACUAUAUAGUGAUAUAUAGAAGUUGUCAAAUUAAAAAAACAACGAUAAUAAAAUUGAACAGGGUAAUACCGCGUGAGAGUUGAUAUCGUCAGCGGUGUUUGCCACCUCGAUUAAUAACGAUAGUCGAGUAUAAAUAGGUUUAAUUGCAAGAAGUCUAAAGAUUUAUAUCCAUGAUGAUUUGCAGCGAAUUAUUAUCUAUAUGAAUAAUAAUUUAUAGUUAAAAAUAUAUAUAUCCCCGCUACGCGGGGAUGAUAGCCCGCUACGCGGGCCAUUAUUAUAAGGAUAAUAAACGUUCAACGACUAGUAGGUGAGUACAUAUAACAAUAUCCUACCAAGAAAUACCUAGGAAUAUUUACCGUAAUGCGGUAUGAUAUUAUUUUAUUUAUAUUGAAAAAUGGUUUUAUUUUGUAUUAUUAUCCUCCAUAAGGAGGUUCACCUGGAUUAACCAGGUUAUUUAUUUCGAAGGGCUUUUUAAAAAAUUAAAAUAAUGUAAUAUUUUAUCAAAUGAAUUAAAUAUUAAAAUUUAAUUUAGGUGGGCAAGCCCACCUAUAAUCAUUGGGGCGCCAAUAAUUUAGGUCCCUUCGGGACCUAUAAUCAACCCGCUUCGCGGGUUAAUUUAAAUAGUAGUGUUAGAAUAUCUAGAAAAACUAACAUUAAAAUAUUAUAUAAAUUAGUUUUUACAACUAAUAAUACUAAAUUAAUUAGUAAAUUAAUUAAACCAUACAUAAUAAAAUCUUUUCAAUAUAAAAUUAUAUAGUCCAUAGUAAACUAUGGUCUAAUAUAUAAAUAUAUCAAUCAGUAAAACUGAAAUAUUUUAAGACAUAGUCUGAACAAUAAUGAAAAUUAUUGAAAUUAAAUUUAAAUAAUUUAAUAAUAACAAAUUGGUCGUCUAGACUCGUCCUCCUGGUCGCAGCAACUAGGUAGGGUAGGACUGUUCGUCCUCUAAGGAGUUACUUGAGAUGGGUUAAUUACGACGUGAGUCAGUAAUGAUUUUAUCAUCUAUGGAUUUUUUUCUUAUCUGUUGCCUUAAGUGUACGCAAGGAUAAUAAGGUACAUUCCUAUGGUAAAAAUAAUUAGAUCUUUUAAAUAGCAAUAAGUUAUAGAGAUUAUAUAUUAGCUAAGAAUGUUGUGUUUACAUAUUGAAUGCAUAUCAAAUAUUAAAUCCUUCAGAUAAGUUUAUACAUUAUAGACUAUAAUGUAUUAGUAAAAAUGUAAAUAUUAUUUACGUUUCAACUAACUAAAAUUUAAACAUAUACCU